CCUACGGGGGGCUGCAGUGGGGAAUAUUGGACAAUGGGGGCAACCCUGAUCCAGCCAUGCCGCGUGUGUGAAGAAGGCCCUCGGGUUGUAAAGCACUUUCAGUGAGGAAGAACGCCUGGUGGUUAAUACCCAUCAGGAAAGACAUCACUCACAGAAGAAGCACCGGCUAACUCCGUGCCAGCAGCCGCGGUAAUACGGAGGGUGCGAGCGUUAAUCAGAAUUACUGGGCGUAAAGCGCGCGUAGGUGGCUUGAUAAGCCGGUUGUGAAAGCCCCGGGCUCAACCUGGGAACGGCAUCCGGAACUGUCAAGCUAGAGUGCAGGAGAGGAAGGUAGAAUUCCCGGUGUAGCGGUGAAAUGCGUAGAGAUCGGGAGGAAUACCAGUGGCGAAGGCGGCCUUCUGGACUGACACUGACACUGAGGUGCGAAAGCGUGGGUAGCAAACAGGAUUAGAUACCCGAGUAGUC
RNAcentral lists this ribosomal RNA (465 nucleotides) under Vreelandella stevensii. RNAcentral describes it as "partial 16S ribosomal RNA". It matches the Rfam family "Bacterial small subunit ribosomal RNA", at positions 338 to 795 of the family's 1533-position model. The record is from RNAcentral. Lineage: Bacteria; Pseudomonadati; Pseudomonadota; Gammaproteobacteria; Oceanospirillales; Halomonadaceae.